Molecule: ribosomal RNA, 115 nt
Filed under: Danio rerio (zebrafish)
Lineage: Eukaryota; Metazoa; Chordata; Actinopteri; Cypriniformes; Danionidae
Source: RNAcentral
AUUAUUAGCUAGCACUCUGCAACUCUCACAUGGUUGCCGACUGAAGCUUAGGAGAGCUGCGCCCAGUCAGUACCUGGAUGGGAGACAACAUGGGAAAGCUAGGUUGCUGCUGGAA